AAAACUGCAUCUUUCAAACUGGAAGAUAAAGAAACUUCCACAUUUUAGUUAGAUUGAGAGCACACAGUUAAUUGGUUAAAAGGUGGCUUUUAAGAUCUGUGAAUUAUUCCAUGCAUCCGUGUUUGUUUUAAGAGUUAAGCCGUUAGAGGAGAUUAAUUAUUACGGAUUUAUAAUGAAAAAUUUUAUCAGCAAAUGCUUUUAUUAGAUUUCUUUUAAUAUUCUCAGCCAGGACAUGAGCUCCAAGCAAGGAAUUACCUCACUAUAUGGGAGCAGAUUGACAUUUACAGGCACAGAAAGUUGGGCAUAUACGGGACCAUCUUCAAUUUCUGCAAAUAAUUAGUAACAUCAUUUUGUCCAUAUAUAUUGAAGUGAUAAGUUUAAAAUAUACUUCGCAUAAAACCCUCAAAAUCAAAAGGAUGAAAAUAUAAAAGAAAGAACUUAUAUAUCAAAGGGUAAUAUGACAUUUCAAGAAAAAAUAAAUUAGUUGUAUGGUAAAAAUGGUAAGGGAGUUCAUAGUUUUGAAGAUUGUAACUUUAUCCCUUGUGAGUUUUUAAGUCCUAAGAAAGUUAGUGUAUCCAUUAGCUUUAGAUCGGGAAAAGUUUAUCACCCCUGCUAGCCCUUUUCGACUUUCACCUUAAUUAUAAUCGAUCAAAUUCAAGAGUUUAUAAUGGUAAAAUUAGAAAGCUAAAAUUAAUAUGCCAUUUCAAAUCACUCAAGUCUAUUAUACCCCAUAACACAGGCACCCUUGUGCAAGCAAAGGCUCUUAGGCCUAAACAUGAAUUGAAACUUAAAAUCCAGGGCAGAUAGAGCUAAAAAUCCCUAAAAAGUUGCAAAAUAUGUCAUUAGAGACUGAUAUCUGAUAUCCCCAACUUAACCCCUGUUAGUAUGAUUUGCUAUGUACAAAAUAAUCACCUAAAGCAAAAACCAUACUUUUACCUCCCCGUGUACUCCUACAUUCUCAAUCACAAAUCACUUACUACCAAAACGUUCAAAAAAUGAAGCAUCACAACUUUCCCCACCAGGUAAUUUAAGACUCUGCGCUUAUCAUAUUCUAUCCUCUUCAGUCUCAUACCAGACCAAAGAACUGCAGCAUGUUUUCUUCUCCUCCCCAAACAUUCAUCCAACAAAAUUUAUCCUAAAUAAGACAAAGCUAAAAACAAAAGAAAACAAUAGACCAUAUUGACGCUACCCUUUCGAAGCAAAUUGUUAUAACAAAGUUUUAAACUGUGGUUGUCGCUGUAUCUUUGAUAUUCCAAGAAAAUAUGAUCAAACAAAGUCAAUGCUGCCGUAGUUUUGCUUGCUUUGUCGUGUCAGAAAAACUGCAGAAACCUUGACAAACUCACAGUCCUAACUGUGUUUUGAAAACCUUAGACUGUUGCGAAAUGGCAGCACCAACAUCAGAGGAGACUGAAACUCUCCUGACAGGACGAGUAGACUUCUUCACAUAAGAUGAAUUCCACUCGCCACCAUCUUGAGCAUAGUAAUCCAUUGGAUAAUCUCCACCAAAAUCUUCCCCUCCCUUUGCAUCCCCCUCACAGCAAGCACCACUCCUCUUACAACAACCCACACCAUCUUCACGAACUUCAUUCUUCUCCCACCACCCAGGUAUCACUCCCAGAGCAACCUCUGCCUCAAACGAAGUAAGCACCGGUUUCACAAACGCCUCACCCCAGUCAAUGGACAACCUCGGACACGCAAUCUGAAUCCAGGCGUCCACAGAAUCCUCAAACAGAGCAACCCUCCCAGGACUUAACUCCGACAUCAAAACCACAGUGUAAUCCAACCCUCUCUCCUUCAUCUUCUUCUCCAACCUCUCCAAAAUCCUCGGAUUCCCUUGUCUCCCAAGAGUCCCCAAAACCACACCCCAACUCCGAGCCUCCCUCGCUUUCAAAAUCGCAUUUUUCCUCGACCGCUUCAUACCCACGUGAUCGUAUUCCUCCAGAAACAACAUCCCCAUGUAAGGGUCAUACCUGAAUGCCCUAAUCCCCGGAUUUGCAAUCAUGAACGCCUCCAAAUGAAACCUUCCAUCCGCCACAAACACCAAAACGCUUUCACCAACGCCACAACCAAGCGAAUUCGCCGAGACCCUGGGCGCCGUGCAACCCAGAACCUCACCCGCGGAAAGCGGCUUCGACUGAGGAACCAAAACCCUAAACCCUAACUCCUCCAAUUGGGGCUUCGCAGCGCGAAUCGCUGAGGCGAAUUGAAUUGUCCCAGCGACAACGAGUGUUUGGGGACGGGAUUCAAGGUUCAACCUGACGGUGUCGACGAAGUGGGGGACGUCGAUUUUGAUGUCGACGAAAACGUAGAGGCAGGGGAUCGUAGUGGCGUCGAUGGGGACGAGGCAGCUGUGUCCGUAGUGGAUGAGGAGGUCGGCACCGAGGGCGGCGGCGGAGAAGUCGUCGACGCAGCAGGCGCCGUAGGUUACGUCGCCGAGGAUGUAGCAAUGGGUGACGGCGGCAAAGGUGGUGAAGAUGUCAGAGAGGGAAAGAGAGUACAUAAGGAGGCCCUCGGGAAACUGGAGGGCGACGCGCUUGGCGCCCGUGGAGAGCACGCGCCAAACGGACUUGUGAAUCUCGAAGUUGUAGUUGGAGGGGAGGACGGAGAUGGCGGCGUUGAGAAGCGGGUCGUUGAGGAUUGAAUCUGGAAUUUGAUUUUUCACGAAACGCUUUGGCUUUGGCUUUGGGUUUGCAGCAUUGUUGGGUUGGAGAGGAGAUGAAGAAUGGGGAAGAAGGAGCAUCUCUGUUCCUGCUUUGCUUUGCUCUGACUCCAUUGCCAUCCUUUCUCUCUCUGCUAAACGCCUUCUUCUUUUGUUCUACUUUCUUUCCUCUCACACCAAAUCUUUUUAAAUAUGCAAUUAUUCUAUUCUUCACUCAUGGAUCAAAUUUAAU
This 2891-nucleotide small RNA is filed under the name Vigna angularis var. angularis. RNAcentral describes it as "Non-protein coding transcript". The record is from RNAcentral. Lineage: Eukaryota; Viridiplantae; Streptophyta; Magnoliopsida; Fabales; Fabaceae.